CCUACGGGAGGCAGCAGUAGGGAAUUUUCGGCAAUGGGGGGAACCCUGACCGAGCAACGCCGCGUGAACGAAGAAGUUAUUCGUAAUGUAAAGUUCUUUUAACAGGGAAGAAAGAGAAAUUUGACGGUACCUGACGAAUAAGCUCCGGCUAACUACGUGCCAGCAGCCGCGGUAAUACGUAGGGAGCGAGCGUUAUCCGGAAUUAUUGGGCGUAAAGGGUGCGUAGAUGGCAUAGUAAGUCUUUGGUAAAAAUGCUGGGCUCAACCCAGUAGGGCAAAAGAUACUGCAAAGCUAGAGUAUGACAGAGGUAAGUGGAACUACAUGUGUAGCGGUAAAAUGCGUAGAUAUAUGUAAGAACACCAGUGGCGAAGGCGGCUUGCUGGGUCGAUACUGACAUUGAGGCACGAAAGCGUGGGGAGCAAACAGGAUUAGAUACCCCUGUAGUC
Molecule: ribosomal RNA, 446 nt
Filed under: uncultured bacterium
Lineage: Bacteria
Description: partial 16S ribosomal RNA
Rfam family: Bacterial small subunit ribosomal RNA
Source: RNAcentral